ACAGUCACACAUUAGAUACCCGUGUAGUCCCAGCCGUAAACUAUGCUCGCUAGGUGUCAGGCAUGGCGCGACCGUGUCUGGUGCCGCAGGGAAGCCGUGAAGCGAGCCACCUGGGAAGUACGGCCGCAAGGCUGAAACUUAAAGGAAUUGGCGGGGAGCACAACAACGGGUGGAGCCUGCGGUUUAAUUGGACUCAACGCCGGACAACUCACCGGGGACGACAGCAAUAUGUAGGCCAGGCUGAAGACCUUGCCUGAAUCGCUG
This 264-nucleotide ribosomal RNA is filed under the name uncultured archaeon. Its description in RNAcentral is "partial 16S ribosomal RNA". It matches the Rfam family "Archaeal small subunit ribosomal RNA", at positions 719 to 982 of the family's 1478-position model. The record is from RNAcentral.